Long non-coding RNA from Manis pentadactyla (Chinese pangolin), 424 nucleotides. RefSeq lists it as uncharacterized. The transcript is spliced from 2 exons. The record is from RefSeq and is a predicted model, not a curated record. Lineage: Eukaryota; Metazoa; Chordata; Mammalia; Pholidota; Manidae.
GCCACCCGAGGCAGGAGAGGGCUGAGCGGGUGUGUGACGUCUCGCGACGCCACUGAGAGCAGGAGUGGGCGGGGCUAGCGUGCAGGGACUGUCCGCGGCCGGGCGUGGCCCCUUGUGACGUCACCGCGGAGGCGUGAGCCGGGCGGGCGGGAUUUGUGGAGCGGGCUGGCUCCGGGCUGGGAGCGCCUGGGCCUGUGGGCCGCCUUGCGACACGCCUCCCUGCGAACAUCUAGAGGACUGACCAUGGAUGGUGACAUAGUGUCUCUACAACCAGAGAUAGACAUCAGGAGACCACAUGUCAGCCUGUGCUCCCCUGGCCCUUUACCCAAUUCUUAUUUUAAGUGCACUUCUCCUCUGAGGCUGCCUGAACUCCCAUGUCUUCAAGUGUGUAUUUUGCUUUAAAUAAAACCUUCUUGCUGCUCAA